This is a non-coding RNA of Paramuricea clavata, 400 nucleotides long. Lineage: Eukaryota; Metazoa; Cnidaria; Anthozoa; Malacalcyonacea; Plexauridae. The record is from the annotation of a GenBank genome assembly.
UUGUUUUUGGGACGCCCAAAAACAAAAAUGACAGUACAUUUCAUAGUUGAAAUAUCGUGAUUUUCGAAAGCUUAUUAUUCGAAGGGUAUGCAUGUAAAUGUCUUCAAACUUUGUAUACUUACUAAUUUUGAGGUGGUCUUUUUAGUGAUUCGGUUCAUUUCUUAAUUUGGGCACUUUUUAACAUUCGUCCCCAGUUCUCUCCGCAUCAACUUCGGAAUGGCUAAUUCCAACUUCCAUAGACCAUAGUGCACACGAAACCAAACAGCUUCAAAUCGAGGCUGGACAAUGUAAUUCAUUGUAAAAAGUAUAAGCAACCAAAUUCUGAAAGUGUUCAUGUAUGCUACUGAAGGACAAUUCAAUUUUUGAACAAAAUUUUUUGACUGAGAAUUUUUUUCUUGUG